UUGAGAAACGGUUACAGUAGCCAUCUUUUAAGUUUGGCUAUUUUAACCUAAAUGUUGCUGUUUGUAAUUUAGUAAAUAAUACUACAUGCUGCAAUAAAAAAAGUGGAAGUUAUGGAUGUUUAUUGGCUUGUUUAGUAAGUAAAUGCGAUCAGACUUCGUGAUUCACAUUUUGUGUCUGGCUAUGCUUACCUUGAGAUGUUGUAGAAUAUACCAGAAUAUCUAAUAUGUAUUUGCUUUAUAUAAAGGUCAAGUGAUAAGAGUAAAGGGGAUUUUAAAGAGACCCAGCUUGCUCAUAGAGAAGGCUGUGACUGGAC
Molecule: non-coding RNA, 314 nt
Organism: Pelobates cultripes (western spadefoot toad)
Lineage: Eukaryota; Metazoa; Chordata; Amphibia; Anura; Pelobatidae
Source: the annotation of a GenBank genome assembly